AUGGGGGGACCACCCUCCAACCCUAAAUACUACCCAGUGACCGAUAGCGUAUAGUACUGUGAAGGAAAGGUGAAAAGGACCCCGGGAGGGGAGUGAAAUAGAACCUGAAACCUUGUGCCUACAAGCACAUAGAGCACAUCAACGUGUGAUAUGGUACUUUUUGUAGAACGGUCCGGCGAGCGAUUGUAUGUUGCGAGCUUAAGGUCUUAAGGACUGGAGGCGUAGCGAGAGCGAGUCUGAACAGGGCGUUCAGUAACAUGCAAUGGGCCCGAAACCGGGUGACCUACCCAUGAUCAGGCUGAAGUGAAAGUAAAAUUUCAUGGAGGGCCGAACCGACCUCCGUUGAAAAGGCGGCGGAUGAAUUGUGGGUAGCGGAGAAAUUCCAAUCGAACUCGGAGAUAGCUGGUUCUCCCCGAAAUAGCUUUAGGGCUAGCCUCAUAUUAGAUACCCGGAGGUAAAGCACUGAAUGGCCUAGCGCCCGAGAGGGUAGCGAAGCCUAUCAAACUAAGAAUGCCGGAGUAUUGAUGUAUGGGAGUCAGACAGUGUGAGAUAAAUCUCAUUGUCAAAAGGGAAACAGCCCAGAUCUACAGCUAAGGUCCCAAAUUGUAUCUAAGUGGAAAACGAUGUGGAAAUACGCAGACAACCAGGAUGUUGGCUCAGAAGCAGCCACUCAUUUAAAGAGUGCGUAAUAGCUCACUGGUCGAGCGUCUCUGCGCGGAAAAUUUAACGGGGCUAAGAUACAAACCGAAGCUUAGGCUGCAACGUAAGUUGCGGGGUAGGGGAGCGUUGUGUAAGCGGAGAAACAGUAGCGUAAGCGGCUGUGGAGUUUACAGAAGUGAGAAUGCCGGAAUGAGUAGCGCGAAUGUGGUGAGAAUCCACAUGGCCGGAAACCUCAGGUUUUUGGAGGAAGGUUCGUCCGCUCCAAGUUAGGCGGGAGCUAAGGUCAGGCCGAAAGGCGUAGCCGAUGCACAGACGGUAGAGAUUCCGUCCCCACCGAAAGAUUUAAGCACAGGGACACUUUUUGAAGGUCGGAGCCAGGUGUUGGUUCUGGUAGUGAUCGAGGGAAAUAUAGUACCGAAGUCCGGCUGGAAGAGAGGCGAGAAAAGCUGUGUGUAUAUCUAAGGUGCCCGUACCGCAAACCGACACAGGUAGGUAGGAAGAAGAUUCUAAGGCCAACGGGAGAAGGGUUGUUAAGGAACUCGGCAAAUUGACCCCGUAACUUCGGGAGAAGGGGUGCUCCAGAGAUGGAGCCGCAGAGAAUCGGCCCAAGCAACUGUUUACCAAAAACACAGGUUUGUGCUAAAUCGAAAGAUGACGUAUACGAGCUGACGCCUGCCCGGUGCUGGAAGGUUAAGAGGAGAUGUGCAAGCAUUGAAUCGAAGCCCCAGUGAACGGCGGCCGUAACUAUAACGGUCCUAAGGUAGCGAAAUUCCUUGUCAGGUAAGUUCUGACCCGCAUGAAAGGCGUAAUGAUUUGGGCACUGUCUCAACAGCCCGCCCGGCGAAAUUGUAGUACCGGUGAAGAUGCCGGUUACC
Molecule: ribosomal RNA, 1535 nt
Filed under: human gut metagenome
Description: bacterial LSU rRNA
Rfam family: Bacterial large subunit ribosomal RNA
Source: RNAcentral